AGGACCGACGUCUGUUCAGGCCCAGUCCUUCAAGCUCGCCCCAGGACGCAGGACUGGGUGUGCAUGUCCGACAUGAGUGGGCGAGAGAGUCCUGUUACCGACCUGUGCGUCCUUAUGGCAUGGGACUGAAAAAUUUGACAUCAGAUGUAUAAAUCUUCAAGUCAGGGAAUAUGAAGAGGAGAAAAACUCAAGGUUAAUUUCAAGAUUAUUAUUGUGUAAAAUCUUUAGUGUCACCUCUAAACAAGGCAUAUAUUCAGUACUACAAUGGAUCAUAUAAGUGAGAAAAUAAUCGAGGUCUUCGAACGGGAAAUCGACAGAGAGUUGGCCGAGAGGAUGGUAACAGUUUCAACAAUUUCCGAUAACAUAAAAAUAUGCCAAAAACAACUCGACAGACUUCGCAAAGAGGCAGUUGUUAAAUUUUAUACAAAUCCAUGCCAGAACUCUGAGACUGAGCAGCCAAGUAUACAUCCAGCCGUAAAGAAACUAAUUGGCAAGAGACCUGCUGUCACUGAUUCCACCCAACAGUACCUGAAGUCCACAGCAUCAGAGUGGAAGAGGGAGACGAGGAAAAGGCACCAGAAAAAACACUCGACAACGUUUCUGAAACACAAGAGUAAAAAUUCAGACAAGCCAGAUGAAGAGACAUCAGUCACCAACGAGAAUGUUAUUAGGCCUUGUUAUAUCCCACCUACAAUCCCAGGAAACCCCCAAGAAAACUCAACUUUAAGAGGAAACACAAAGAAAAUGCACAUGAGAGUUUUGGUUGGAAACUUAGCACAAAGACUGGACACAGUUGGUGAAGAUGGAGCGACCCAUAAGUGGAUUGUCUAUGUAAGGUCAGCUCCUGGCUCAUUGGAGAUCGAACAGCAAGUGGCUAGCGUGUGCUUUUAUCUUCAUCCUACUUAUAAACCUCACAAUAUCGUGACAGCCCCAUAUCCACCGUUUACUCUUAACCGCAGAGGAUGGGGGGAAUUCCCUCUAAGAGUUGAACUGAGUUUUAAGAACAACCUAAACAAGCCAGCUGAUAUCAUUCAUAAUAUUAAUCUGAAUGGAAGCAUAAGCGGGCACCAUACCAGAAGUUCAGAGACAUAUUUAGAUCUCUGGCUCUAUCCGAAUGGUGAGGCAGGGCCUAGUCAUUCCGUUACUUCACGCCUGAUUUUAGACCAAGCAAGUGACUUGAUGAAGGAAAACGUACCAGAUUUCUCAACAGACUUGAUAUGUUUUAAAUGUCAAGAAUCAGGUUUACCAGUUGAGAACAGCCGAUGCGCAUGUGAUGCCUCAAAUUUAUCUGUGUUUGACGAUCAAGAUUCUUCCUCGAUUAAUGAAAAUUUUAGCGGUACUGAUUUCAUCCCUGACAUGAUCACUUCACUUCCUAUGGAUUGUGAGACGGAUCCACACACCUAUGUUUCAAGAAAUUUGGAAACACCAGAGAUGUCGUCAGUCAACUUUGGAAUGGAACACUCAAGUCGUCGAAUAACUAACUAUGAAGUUUCUAGUCUAUCAGACAUUGUCAAAAAUGUUAUCGGCCCCAAUAGCUGCCCAAAUUUUCACGUAGAUUUGUCAAAAUUAUCUCUACCAUUUGAUUUUGACAAAAAUGCUUUUGAAAAAGGUUUUCUCGAUGAAAGUACUGAUCAUGAACUUGACUUGAUUAAAGUUACUGACUUCACAUCUAAUAACAGUAACGAUGCUGUAAAUUUUAGUUCAGAUAUAGAUUUUAGUGAAAUACUUGAAGACUUGGUACUAAAAGAAACAAUCAAAGAAGAACCGGUUGUAUUUGAAGGGAGUAACACUGGAUUAAAAUUGGAAAAUUUAGGUACAUCAACACUACAUAAUUGUAGUAUCAAAAUUGAAGAUAACAUAUGCAUGAGUAGUGAUGUAAGCACUAACCAUGUUACUUCAAAUCACCAUACACCACCAGAGAUUCAAGGGGAUAAUGUUUGCAAAAUUCCUGAAGAAUUACUUCUUCCCGACUUUUUUGAUUCAGAGUUUCCAAACUUAAACACUUUACAUACCAAUGAUACAAAUUUAAUUGAUUCAGAAUUUAAAUUUGCAGAUGUACCUUGUUCAGAUGAAACCAAUUUUAUUAACUCAGGAUUUUACCCUUUAAAUGCACAAUCCACAUGUAUUGAAGAUUGUACACUAUCAAAAAAUGACGCAAAUUUCCUUGACACUGGGUUUGCUUCCCUUAACCCAUAUCAGUCAUUUGAUAAUCAUCCAAAUGAGAGUGAAAGGAAUUUCAAGAUGACUGACUUGAGGAAUUUGUCUCAGCCAAGUUGUUCACACUCAGAUUCACAGAGUGAACAGACAAAAAUAAUCACUGAAGAAAAUUUCAGAAAAGAUACAACAAUGGUAAUCGAAGAAAUACCAAUACAUGAGUUUAUAGAUAACAUUGUUGAAGAAAUUGUUGUUGAUAUCCCUAAAGAGGAGUUGUCUAAUUCAGACAGUAGUCAACUAAUACGACCAGACACUAUUGGAAGUGAGAGAGAUGCCUCUCCUGUUGAAGAAUUACCGACGCAAACCCAAAAUAUUGAAGAAAAUCAAAUCCUUGCAGAUGUACCAUCAUCAACAGCUCGUACUAAUCAAGACAGUGAAAAAGUGAUUUCAGAGAAAGGUUUGCCUCUAUCUAGCCAGAAACCUGAAUCUGUAGAUGAUAAAAAUAUUCAUGAAAUUGUUCAAUGUAGUAAAAAGUUAAAAUACGAUGACAAUUUGAGGCUUCCAAACAUGCCAAAAGGAGGAGCUUCAUUAUUGGAGUCCUUAAAAACCAAUGCUGUGAAAAAAAGAAAAUUUAAAACUAGUACAAAAUCAUCUGUUAUUUCUUGUCUACAGAAUCGUGGCGACCUGCAAAAUAAUGUUUCUGGUUCAACAAGCUUAUUGAAAUCAAACAUGAAUAAAAAUAGUAUUCUCAAACAAAACUUAAAUAACGAAAGCAAACAAGUUACGAUUCCAACAUUUCUUAUUCAACAAUCAACAAUACAACCUACUAGCAUAGCCAAUGUCAUGCCAUCUAUUCCCCAAAGUGGUCAGCAACUGACUAUAAAUCUCCCAAAUUCUCAACCUUCAACCACGACAAACACUUCUGAGGCGAAGAAACCUGUUCCCGGUCUAAGAUUUAAACCGAUAAAUAAUCCUCGGAAUUUUACCUUAAGGCCAGGUAUGAAACAAAUAAGGCUUGUUCGUAUGCCAAAUGGGGUUAAUCAAAUUACUCUUCCAACAUCUUUUAUUCAACAGUCAAGGCCAGUGAUCUCAAAUCCUAAUGGAGUGAUUAACAGAACUCAACUGCAAAAUGCUCUACUUGUAGCCAGGUCACCCACCAGAAUACAGAAUGGACCUACUAUUCAAUCCGCCAAUAACAUGAUGUUAGGGAAUAAAUCUACAACUCAAAAUGCCGUCCAACAAGUACAAAACUGUGACAAGAAAGUUACACCUGUAACUCUUGUUAAGGGUCAAGUGAAUAGUAGUGACAUUCAAAGUAUUUUGUUGAAUCAGCAAGGGUUGCCGAAGAAUAGUAUACCUCUUCCAAAAAUUGAUUAUAGAAACAGAAAAUUAAUAACUAAACCUAUCAUAAAACAUGAAAUCCUAAAACAAAAAUCACAAAAUGUUAAAAAUUCACAAAAUGUUGUACCCCAAUCUAUUAGAAAAAACAAAAACAAAAAAACUGAUUUACUAGAGAUGUGUAUACAAAAAUCAGAAUUAUCUGACAUUUUAACUAAUUUAGAAGACAACACAUCAGAACCAGAACAUUUUUCAGUAUGUCAACUAACUUCCAGUUCAAAUAUUACCGAAUCUAUCUUAAAAAACACAUCAUCAGCUCAUCAAAUUAAUUCAAGAAACGAUUUGACAUCUACAAGUAUGAACGUAUCUACAGUGAAUGCUGCGCACUGGUUAUCUGAUAAGUAUCAGAUAACUAAUGGGCAGCAUUCAUUGUUCAACCAGAAAAUGAUAAAAUCGUUAAAAAAUGCAACGAAUUACCAGGGCUCCAAUAAUUCGCCAAACUUUAACACAAGGAUGAGCAGUUGUUCAAAAAUUACUCAAAAUUCAAACAGCCUGCUUAAAAAAACACAAAAAAUUGUUGUGAAGAAUCUGGAAACCAGUUCACAAACCAAGAUGGAUUCUAAACAAGUCACUACAAAUUCCCAAAAUGUUAAGAAGACUGAUGUCAAAAGUUCAUGCACAAAAAAGAAUAAUUCAAGUAUUACUUUGAAACUGGAUCACAACAAUACGCAAGUCACAACAAAUGUAGUGAAGACGCAGAGUUCAAAAACACUUCUUUCUUCCCAAAAAUAUAACGUAAGGAUUGAUGGUAAGAAUGUAUACUUACAACCAAUAAAUAGUACAAGCAAUGAGAAUAUAAAAUGUACCAUCGUUGAAAACUUUAAUGAAAACAUUCCCACUCAAGUAUCACAUGUUCCAAAAUAUGUAUACAUUCAAAAACAACCAAAUACACCAACCAGUUCAUUCCAAGAAGAAGCUAUUACUCAUGCACCGCACAUUCAAUCAACGGAAGCAGAAGGAUCUUCAAUUUCUUUAAAUGUAGGAGCUCGAAGAUUACAACCAGAGAUAUCAUUAAAUGAACUCAUCGACAUUACAAAUUUUCCUAAAGUCAGUGUACCAAUAAGGUCUACCAAUGGAUCUCCAUCAGGCACUAAUUAUGAGUAUGAAGAUUCUCAGCUAGAAAACAUAUUGUCUUGUAACAACUUGCACAGUGAUUUGGAUGGUCCUAAUUUAGAUUUUGGAAGAAGAACUGUUUUAACGAACAGAGACCAUAUUGGAUCUGAAAAUGAUCAAGAAGUACUGUACUACUUACAACAACAUAGUGGUUCAGAGCUAAGAUUGUGACGAGAAUCUUAACAGCCCUCAAGACGAGGGGUGUUCUGGCCAGUAAAUCAAACUGGUCUACUUCAGCGGUAUACAGAUGGGCCAAACUACACGGUUAUUCUCCAGCACCGCAGAUUAUCGGCCCUGACAAAAAUGUUGCAAAGUAUUUGCGGCAAUUGAAUAGAAAGUCAAGACAUAGAGCUGUACUUAAGUGGAUGGCAUCUAUGCAUAUUAACAAGAAAGUUACCAAUGAAGAAAUAGAUGUUGUUAGUGAAAACCAAG
RNAcentral lists this unclassified non-coding RNA (5097 nucleotides) under Homalodisca vitripennis (glassy-winged sharpshooter). RNAcentral describes it as "uncharacterized LOC124360156, transcript variant X2". Lineage: Eukaryota; Metazoa; Arthropoda; Insecta; Hemiptera; Cicadellidae. The record is from RNAcentral.